RNAcentral lists this transfer RNA (67 nucleotides) under Propeamussium sp. mt1. Its description in RNAcentral is "tRNA-His". The record is from RNAcentral. Lineage: Eukaryota; Metazoa; Mollusca; Bivalvia; Pectinida; Propeamussiidae.
GUUUUUGUGGUGUAGGGGUAGCACGGGUAAUUGUGGUUUAUCAGGGAAUAUGUGAUAUUCGAAGACU